Long non-coding RNA from Canis lupus familiaris (dog), 1194 nucleotides. RefSeq lists it as uncharacterized. The transcript is spliced from 3 exons. Lineage: Eukaryota; Metazoa; Chordata; Mammalia; Carnivora; Canidae. The record is from RefSeq and is a predicted model, not a curated record.
AUCUUGUUCACGAUGACGAUCUUGGGCCCCAGCUGUUUGUUGACUGUGAAGAUGUGCAGCAGUCGUAGCGUGAAGACCAUGAAGUCGAGGCAGAGGACGGUGCGGCCCAGAUGCCCAGGGGCGAGCGACCCAUUAGGGCCAUCCUGAUGUGGUGCUUUCAUUUCGAUCAAGAAGGAAGAAUCACAAGGGGCUGGAGCCCAGCAGGGAGGAACGGAGGCAGGUGGCCGGGACACUCACCGGCAGCCCACGCCCAGGAGGAAGCAGGCGAGGGCCACCAGGUCGCACUGGUUCCAGGUGUCUGAGAGAGCAGCGUGAAGGCCCAGAAGUAAAGCAGCAGCUCCAGGGCACCGGGAGCCUUGGGCUGGAAGUCCAUGAGCAGCACAUGGGCGAAAAGCAGCAGGAAGAGGAGGUAGCUGACCACGUUGCCCAUGAAAGCAGUCACUGGCGCCCCCCAGAACUGAGGCCAGCGGCGUAGACGCGGGGGGCACCUCCUGCAGCAGCCCCUGGGCCUGCGCUGCCCCAGCACCUGCACGGCCGUCUUCUCGGAGGGCUCCGUCGGCCUGGGGGUGAGAGGGAGGGAAAGAGAAGGGCUCAGCCUGACCUCUGAGCCCCUGGUCACCAUCAUCAAGACCUCUCACCUUUCACAUCUGACCUCUAACCUUGCCUGACCUGAAACCAAGUCCCUGUCUGCCAUCUCCUUGACUUUUGAUCCCUAUACCUGACCUCUGACCUCUGAAAUCUACCGUCAAGCCUGCUGACCUUCCAUCUCUGACCUUCUCCACCAUCUGACCUCUGGCCCCUGUGAUGACCUCUGACCCUGGUCUGACUCCAAAUCCCUCUUUUCAUCUUUAUAACCUCUGACAUAUGUCUGACCUCAGACCAUCUAUCUGACCUCUGAUCCCCUCACUUUCAUGACCUCGGUUCCCCAGGGUUGACAGCCCUGUACCUGAAUAUUAACUUCUGACCCACAAAUUCUCAUGUCAGAUUGUCUAGCCCAGUGUUUCCCGUAUCUGACCUUGGACCAUACAGCCAUAUGUGGCUUCUGAAUUCUGACCUUGCUCCACUCCUAUCUCUGACCAUUCUCGUCCCAGUUCUGACCCUCUGUCCCAAUUUCAUCCUGACACUUCAUUCUGACUUCAAAUCAGAAAUGCCAAAAUGAAUAAUAAUACAAAUAAUAAUAAACCCAACAAGCUA